AGCAGCAGACCCUCCCUCCCAGACCCUCCCACCUCCUGGACAGCAUCCAUUUUGAAGCUGCAUUCUUAGUGAGCUGUCCAAGAGGUGGGAGGGUCUGGGAGGGAGGGUCUGCUGCUCAAUAUUAUUAUUAUUUUUUUUUUU
Non-coding RNA from Pelobates cultripes (western spadefoot toad), 141 nucleotides. NCBI's taxonomy places the organism in Eukaryota, Metazoa, Chordata, Amphibia, Anura, Pelobatidae. The record is from the annotation of a GenBank genome assembly.